Molecule: small RNA, 85 nt
Filed under: Arabidopsis thaliana (thale cress)
Lineage: Eukaryota; Viridiplantae; Streptophyta; Magnoliopsida; Brassicales; Brassicaceae
Description: ATSL201480
Source: RNAcentral
UGAUCUAUCAGUCAAACUCAACCACCUAGCAUACUGAGAACUCUAAACUACUCUAACCCAUCCUCAGAAACCUAUUCACUACUAA